Lagopus muta (rock ptarmigan) is the source of this 1727-nucleotide long non-coding RNA. RefSeq lists it as uncharacterized. The transcript is spliced from 2 exons. The record is from RefSeq and is a predicted model, not a curated record. Lineage: Eukaryota; Metazoa; Chordata; Aves; Galliformes; Phasianidae.
UCAGGUGCUCAGAGCCCCGUCCAGCCUGACCUUGGGUGUCUCCAUGGUUGGGGCACCCACCGCCUUUUUGGGCAACCUGUGCCAGUGCCUCACCACCCUUAGUGUGAACAGCUUCUUCCUUACAUCUAGUCUAAACCUCCCCUCCUUUAGUUUGAAACCAUUUCCUCUUGUCCUAUUCAGACAGCAGCCCUGCUAACAGUGCAUCAUGCCAGGAGGGAUGUUCUCUUGAGGCAGAGAACUGCAGGUCCUCAAUGCACAGGAGCAGGUUGAUAUAAAGGAGCAGGAGAAGAGCAGUGGGGAUGAAGAGUAUUUCUGCAGACUGAGAUUUUUUGGGUGCAAGGUGGAAGAAAUUGGGCAUUAGAGCUGUUGCCUGAAAACAGAGUUUUUGAAAAGCCAUCAAGAACAGGAGGUGCUGGCACAAAAAACACACAGGUUACUGGCAAGUUAAGCUGCAGGAGCUGAAAGUAAAGCUGUGAAAGUCCACAGAGGAGAAAGCUAAACUGAUGGUGUAGUGGAAAUGCGGAGUCAUGGCCUGAAGCAGUGAUUGAGCACCUGGUGGGAAGGCAGGGCCAACCCAGGGAGCUCAGGUGCAUGCAAUGUACCUGAGUGAUGGAAGGGGAGGAGCCAGGAUGCACCCCUUCCCAGACCUCAUUUAAGGGUUGGCAGUGGAGGCAAGAGCAUCUCUUGGGAUUCCUGUCUACCUGAUGCUUUCCUGAGGCUGGAGAUUUCCAGAAAGGACUGAGCUAUGCUGGGCAACAAGCAAUGAAUCAGAGGCAGAACAAAACAUGACAUCUCCAUCAGAGGGAAGAAAGGAAGACUCUAUGAAACACCCCAUUGCUCCAGCCCUUUGUUGUCUGCUGACUUCACUUCCCCAGUCUGGCUCAGGAGUGGGGAAAGCCCGAUGACAGCAUGCAGAUACAGAUCACCAUCCUCCUUGUGCCUCACUGUAUGCAGCAAUGUGCCAAAGCCCCCACGUGCCAGAGUGCAGCAAUUGCAGCUAGUGAGCCACGGGAGACACGCCAAGGCAGAGCUGGCCUGGUUUUGGGCUGGGACAGCCAAUGGAAGGUUCAAUAGAUAGCAGCUGCUAUUUACCUGCUGCUCUGCACCCGGCCUGCACAGCAGAUCGGACAUGCAGAGAGCCAGCUGGAAGUCAAUACUACUGCUAUAUGCCAACUAAACUGUUGCUUUCUUAGGAAUCAGUGUGCAUUCAAGUGUGAGCCCCUUUCCUCAGAGCCACACCAAGGGAGGCAAGGACCAGUGCAGCCAUACAGUGUCCUCACUCACCUACUCACCCCUGCCUGCUGUACACAGAUGUGUGCGUGGCACUUACAUGACAGCCCUGUGGCUGGCAGGCACUGAGUGGUCAGUACAAUUGUCCAACAAGAACUAAAUCUGUGCUAAGUGCCUCCUUGCAAGCGCUAACAAUAACCCAGAGCCACCACUUGUAAAGCACUCAUGUUGUUUCUGUGCUUCUCAUUUAGCUGCACUGCAAUAAACUGGUGCUUCUGUUCAUGAAUCCCAUCCAGCUUGCCCCACACACUGCUCCUCCUUUAGAGAUGGCUCUAGCUACUGCCUGGCUCACUAAGGUUUAGUAGACCUCACAAGCAAGAUGGUGGUUAUUUAACGCUACAGAGGCCCACUGCCUUCUUUCACAGCCUACAAGAGGCAUUCCACACCAGCAGCAGUUCAUUCUCAUUGCCUAGAGCUGCAUACAACAAAGCUACAAA